GUUCUUGCUUCGGCAGCACAUACACUAAAAUUGGAACAAUAACAGAGAAGAUUAGCAUGGCCGCUGUGCAAGGAUGACACACAAAUUCAUGGUUUUUGGCAGUCUACA
RNAcentral lists this small nuclear RNA (108 nucleotides) under Microtus ochrogaster (prairie vole). The record is from RNAcentral. Lineage: Eukaryota; Metazoa; Chordata; Mammalia; Rodentia; Cricetidae.